UUUGAAUUUCUUUUUGUUCUACUCCUUAGUUUUUCCAGAAGGCAUCUUCCUCUUCUUACUUUUUGGAGCAGUCUCCUCAACGAUAUAAGCUCCCAUAAUCGUUGAAUUUCCACGAGACUUCUUCUCGACUGUUUUGUUGUCUUCCUCGAUCUUUAAACGUAUCACAAGAUCUUCCAACUUCAUUUCUUUGCGUUUGUGCUUCAUAUAGUUCUGGAAAUCCCUCUAUGAAGGAGGCAAUUUUUCAAUCAUAGCAGCUACUUGAAAUGCUUCAUUCACGACCAUACCUUCAACAAUAAUGUCGUGAAAAAUAAGUUGAAGCUCAUGAACUUGGAUUCCCACAGUUUUGUUGUCUAUCAUUUUAUAGUC
Molecule: long non-coding RNA, 366 nt
Filed under: Nicotiana benthamiana
Lineage: Eukaryota; Viridiplantae; Streptophyta; Magnoliopsida; Solanales; Solanaceae
Description: long non-coding RNA (NBEN_LNC023398)
Source: RNAcentral